Molecule: long non-coding RNA, 4957 nt
Filed under: Brassica napus (rape)
Lineage: Eukaryota; Viridiplantae; Streptophyta; Magnoliopsida; Brassicales; Brassicaceae
Description: long non-coding RNA (BNAP_LNC012257)
Source: RNAcentral
CUUCUUCUAAUGACACCAAUCCUGUGGGCGAAGAGGACGACACCGGAGACAACAAAUCUAAGAUUAUUAUGGUAGAGUACUUACCUAAGAUCGUAGUGAUUUUGGCCGGAGAGGAUAAACCUAGUUGCUUGGCCGUUCCGGUGAUUCCUCCACCGUCUUCCAUUUAUCCUUGUAACUGCGGCAAUGUUACUGUCGUCUCAACCUAACUCAUUUACUUCUCUUUUUUCUUUUGCCAGCACAAAGAAUAAGAGAUUUCAACUUUUGUAAUAAUCAUCGGCAAUUUUGUAGUAGUCGACUGUUUUUGAUGGGUGGUAGACUGGUAUAGUAUAGAUAAAGUUUUGUUUAAUGCUUUCUUAUGAACUGCAAAAGUUUUGUUUAAUCUUGAGAUUACUAUAUCGAAUAUAUUUGGAAUAGCCUAUGAAUUAUAUAUCUCUUUAAUACGAUGUUAAAACUUUAGAAUAUGUAAUUUGUCUUUUUAUGGUUUUAAGAUCUUUACUACAACGUAUGACCAUAUGUUCGGUUCGAAAAUUGCAAAUGACUUAUACGGUGCCAAUUUUCAGUGAUGAUCGUUUUAGUCUUCGACUGCUCCUACAAUGUUGUUCAUCAGCAAUUAUGCCAAGCAACAACACUAUGGGCUAGUAGAAAGCUACUAAUUACAUCUUCUUCUCUUUAGCAAGUAAUUACAGACCAUUGUUUACUGGUAUUGGGCCUAUUGGCUAAAUAACAGUAAAAUAAUAUUAUAAAUGAUAAAAAGGCAAGCUUUUUGCUUUGAUGUGGCAUUUUGUUACAUAAUAAGAGCAUAAGAAAAUAUAAUAAUGCAUUUCAUAACUUUCACAUUGAUUGGCGUCUAUUGGAGUAUUGGUGGUGGACGCCGCGGCCUGAAAACGCAAAGAGUUGGACGGUCCAAAGUGGAUAUUACUUUUGCUUUUGUGUGGCUAUUAUGUGGUCGCCACUCUUUUCUCAAGUGCACUUUAAUUAUGCUGCUUAGGCAGAUAGGUUUUUAUUAAAUUAUGUAAUUGUUGGUAAUGGUAACUAUAAAACUGUAUAUAGUUAAAAUAGGAAAAAUUGCUUAUUCCCCUACCAACUAGUUGUUCCCGGCUUUUUCACACAUGAACUUUUAAGUCAUGGCAAAAACCACAUGAACAAUGGAAAAAUGACUUAUUCCCUUAUGAACUAGUUGUUCCCGGCUAUUUCACACACAAACUUUUAAGUCAUGCCAAAAACCACAUGAACAACUACAUGCACAAACUAUCGAUUUUAAACUAAUUCCCAUAGAACCGUAACAGUGUAAUUUAAACGUUAACUUGAUUUAUGAUAGGUGGAGCUUGAGACGGUUUAAUUUGGGUUGAUAAAAACAGAAUACUACGUCGUUUUUUUCUUUUUCUUCUUCUUUUUGUCAACUUCUCUUCUUCUUCAGAAAUCGUUUUACUCUUCAUCAUCAAUUAGGGAUAAAAUUUAUUAUCAUACAGAAAAAUAAAACAUUUUACAUGAUACAUAAAGAAAGAAGAUCAACAAAUACUAACUUACCAAUCUCCAUGUAUUGUCACAAGGAACUAUAAAAUUGACGUAGUCUAGGACGCUUGAUUGGUUCCAUAAGCGGAUGUUACUCUCAGGUUCUGGUCCUGCAGGAAUUUAUAUAUUCUCUUCAAUCCAGAAAUUAAUGUCAUACGAUCUCUUUAUAUGCUUUAUGUCAUAUAACUCGAAAAUAUCUAUCCACCCAGUUACUAUGUCAUAUAACUCGAAAAUUAAGAAUAAAUUUUUGUAUCCUCAGUUGAUGAUGAAGAGUAAAAAGAUUUCUGAAGAAGAAGAGCAGUUGACAAAAAGAAGAAGAACAAAACGGCAUAGUAUUCUAUUUUUGUCAACCUAAAUGAAACAGACUAUCUACCUGUCAUAAACCAAGUUAACGUUUAAACAACACCAUUUACGGUUUUAGGGAAAUUAGUUUAAAAUUGAUAGUUUGUGUAUGUAAUUCAAAAAAUAGAAUUUUUCAUGUGAUUUUUGGCAUGACCUAAAAGUUUGUGUGUGAAAUAGCCGGAAACAACUAGUUCAUAGGGGAAUAAAUUAUUUUUCCGUUGUUCAUGUGGUUUUUGGCAUGACUUAAAAGUUCGUGUGUGAAAAAACCGGGAACAACUAGUUCAUAGGGAAAUAAGCUACUUUCCCAGUUAAAAUAUACUUGCUCUUUCUAUAAUAUAAAACUAGGUGAUUUUCAUGUGCUCAUACACGGGUAUAAAUAUUUACAAGUAAAUAUACUAUAAUAAUUGAUUGUUAUUUAUUUUUAAUUUUAAAUGAAUUUAUAAUUUGUAUGCAUAAUUUAUAUUAAUAAUAUUAUAUUUCUUUAAUUAGAUAUAUGAUUUUAGAUAUAUUAUAUCUAGUCAGUUUUGUUGUUUUUUAGAGUCUAUUUAGUUAUCAUUUGGGUAUAUUAGAUUGCAUCUAUUUUUCUGAAUUCAACUAUAAUAAUUUCUUUAUUUUAAAUAUAUUAAAAUUAUGAUUAAUUUUCUAAUUUUCAUUUACGUUGGUUGUUGGCUUAGAUAUGUAAAUAUAUUUGAGGAAGAUUAUGUUGAACUUAAGAUAUAUUGGUCUUAGAAUGUAGUAUAAAAUAAACUAAAGUGUCUGAUUCCAAAUUAUGUAAAUUACUAUAACGAUAAUAUUCUACAGUAUCAUGCACAUAUAUAAAUUUUACAAAAGAACUAAAUUAUAACAGUUGGUUAAUAUUUUAUUUUCAUUUGUUCAAAUAAACUAAAAUUUCUGAUUCCAAAUUAUGUAAAUUACUAUAACGAUAAUAUUCUACAGUCUCAUGCAUAUAUAUAAAUUUUACAAAAGAACUAAAUUAUAACAGUUGGUUAUUAUUUUAUUUUCAUUUGUUAAUAUGUUUUGAGUUAUCCUAUAAUUUACAUUUAUAAAAUAAAUGAUUAUUAUAAAUUAUAUAUUCUUAUUGUAAUUAAAUAUAUGAUUUUAGAUAUAACAUGGAUUAGUCAAACUGAAGUAUAUUUUUUUUAUAAUUAAGUAAAAUCAAAUUAAUUUUAUUUAUUGUUUAAAUGUGAAUGUAUUUUCAUAAUAUUUAUCAUAUUAUAUCUUGAUUUAAAAAAAUAUAUAUCAGAAAAUAAAGUGAUGAUCAAUAUGAAGUUACAUAUAUAAGUAACUAAUACAUUUUUGGAAGCUCAUGAAUACAUAUCAAUAUUUAAAAUAAUUAAACUAAAAUGGUAAAGUGAAAUUUAUUUUAAAUAAUCUUAGAAAUGAGAAUUAAUAUUUGCUUUGGUAUUUUAAUUAUAGUUAUAUUAAGUUCCACAAACAUAAAACAUAAAAUUUAAAAGCAGAUUUAAUAUUAUGAAAAAAAAUAAUUUUAAUAAUGAUAAAAAUAUAAUAUAUCUACCUCGUUAAAGUAUAUAGUGUUAUGUUAUUUAAAAUAUUUUGUAAUUAUUUGAUCAAAAGAUGUUUACAGUUAAUUCUUCUUUUAAUAUCUCUUAAAAAUAAGCAGUUUAAAAAAAUUGUGUGAUUGCAUUUAAAAAAAUCAUAUUAUAUAAGUAAGAAUACAAUUUAUAGUUUUUUUUCCAUAAUUGAAAGAUAUUAUAGUCAACUAAAUAUAUGAAAAAUAAAUAAAACAUUUCAAUAAUACUAAUUAUAAACUAUUUUUAGUCAAUUAAACAUAUAUCAGUUUAUGUUACUUAAUUAUUUUAUGUAAUCAUCAAAGAAAAUAGAUAGAUAUAUAAAAAUUAUUUCUAUUACUUUGAAAAUAUAUAUUUUUGUAUUGUUUAAAUUAUGAAUUAAUUUUUCUAAUAUCUAGAUUAUGUGUGUGAAUGUUGUUUUAUGAAAUCACAUUAUAUGCAAAUACAUAUUUUCAUCUAAGAAAAUAUAGAUAUAAAGAAAUAUUUUAUUACUUCAAAAGUAUAUUUUAUGUUAUUUAAAAGUAUUUUUUAAACGAAAUAUUUCCAUUUUGUGAAUUUUUCUCUUUAAUGAAAUCAUAUUAUAUAUACAUAUGUUUUUCGUUUUUAAUUUUUUUUUUUAACUUUAUAAAUGUUUCCUUUUUUUAUUAUAUAUGUUAUUUGAAUUUUUUUUAAAAAGGAAACUAAAUAAAAAAAUUCAGUAAUAGUAUUUAAAUGUAAUAUUUUUAAUUCAUUAAGGGUAUCAUCGUAAUCAACCAUCGUGAGAAUUAUCGUGAGUGCGACACAUAAUAAACUGACUUUUCAAAUAAUAUUAUAGAAAUGUUUAGGUAAAACACAAGAACUAUAUAUAUAUAUAUAUAUAUAUAUAUAUAUAUAUAUUAUUUUUAAAAAAUAGUUUAUAUAUCUAAAAUAUAAAUAUGUUAUUUCUGAGUUUUAUAGCCAAUAAUUUAUUGUAUUUUAAUUUCUUAAGAGAGAUUUUUAAGAUAUAAAUUAUAAAAAGUUAUAAACUAAAACACACAUAGAAAUAUACAUCCUUAAUCCGUAAUGAAUUAUUUUAUUCUUAAACAUUAAACUGGUGAAGUUGCAAAACACAAUCAUUUAUUAACUUUUUAAAUAUUGUCUAAAAGGUGAAAUAGAAAAUAAGAAAGGUUUAUUGCAUAUAUUUUCUUUACAUUUUUUCAUAGUUGAACUUACAACAAUACAAGUGAGAAAAACAGUAAUAAGAACAAAGAAAAAUGAGGGCGACACCAAAAGUAGAAAUAUGGAAGUCACCAAUACCAUACCUCUUUGGUGGUUUGUUUUUGCUUAUUUUGCUUAUAGCUUUAGCAUUACUCUCAUUGGUCUGCACAAACAAAAAGACUCCUUCUUCUUCAUCUUCUUCUAAUGACACCAAUCCUGUGGGCGAAGAGGACGACACCGGAGACAACAAAUCUAAGAUUAUUAUGGUAGAGUACUUACCUAAGAUCGUAGUGAUUUUGGCCGGAGAGGAUAAACCUAGUUGCUUGGCCGUUCCGGUGAUUCCUCCACCGUCUUCCAUUUAUCCUUGUAACUGCGGCAAUGUUACUGUCGUCUCAACC